UAUUGCACAAUGGGGGAAACCCUGAUGCAGCGACGCCGCGUGAAGGAAGAAGUAUCUCGGUAUGUAAACUUCCAUCAGCAGGGAAGAAAAUGACGGUACCUGACUAAGAAGACCCAGCUAACUACGUGCCAGCAGCCGCGGUAAUACGUAGGGGGCAAGCGUUAUCCGGAUUUACUGGGUGUAAAGGGAGCGUAGACGGAAGAGCAAGUCUGAUGUGAAAGGAUAGGGCUUAACCCCAGGACUGCAUUGGAAACUGUUGUUCUAGAGUGCCGGAGAGGUGAGCGAAAUUCCUAGUGUAGCGGUGAAAUGCGUAGAUAUUAGGAGGAACACCAGUGGCGAAGGCGGCUUACUGGACGGUAACUGACGUUGAGGCUCGAAAGCGUGGGGAGCAAACA
RNAcentral lists this ribosomal RNA (395 nucleotides) under uncultured bacterium. Its description in RNAcentral is "bacterial SSU rRNA". It matches the Rfam family "Bacterial small subunit ribosomal RNA", at positions 362 to 774 of the family's 1533-position model. The record is from RNAcentral.